This 82-nucleotide transfer RNA is filed under the name Candidatus Levyibacteriota bacterium. Its description in RNAcentral is "tRNA-Leu". It matches the Rfam family "tRNA". From Rfam's summary of the family: Transfer RNA (tRNA) molecules are approximately 80 nucleotides in length. Their secondary structure includes four short double-helical elements and three loops (D, anti-codon, and T loops). The record is from RNAcentral. Lineage: Bacteria; Candidatus Levyibacteriota.
GCCGAAGUGGCGGAACUGGCAUACGCGUACGGUUCAGAACCGUAUCCCGCAAGGGUUGGAGGUUCGAGUCCUCUCUUCGGCA